Molecule: long non-coding RNA, 1810 nt
Organism: Bombus terrestris (buff-tailed bumblebee)
Lineage: Eukaryota; Metazoa; Arthropoda; Insecta; Hymenoptera; Apidae
Exons: 3
Source: RefSeq, a predicted model, not a curated record
GUGUACAAGUCGGUUGAGUACCGACUACUGGCGGAAGCUUCCUGACGAAUAUCAGUGCUGCCAAUCCUAUCGUCACGAGAUAACCUCAUUUGUAAGGUUCUGAACACCGAGCAAUACUUGUGCAUAGUUUGCUGCAUCUCUUCUCGCAGCUCGGCGAUAGGAAUACAACCUUUUGCAUAACGAGUCGCGUCGAAGCGGCAAAUAGACUCCUCGCCAACAAUCUGUACAUAUACGCCUGGUCAUGCAGUCGAUCUGAUCGGAGAUUGCCUUGCCAAAAACGACUAACUCCAGAAGGCUAUUGGCGCCUAACCGAUUAGCCCCAUGGACAGACACGCACGCGGUUUCACCUGCUGCCCAGAGUCCUUCGAUCACGCUAUCUUCCUCGUUUUCUCGUGUCAGAACCUUGGGCAGAGUUACCAACCAGUGAUUCAUGCUUCGUGCGUAGUUAGUUUAGCGAAGGGCGUUCUAACUACUCACCUGUGCUCGCCAGUUCGUGGGUAUGCCGCCCAUAUUGUAGUGCACUGUGGGAAUGAUAGGUAUCGGUUCUUUUUCUACAUCCACGCCGCUGAAGACCCAGGCUAAGUGCGAAAUCCCUGGUAGUCGCGUGCGUAUUGUUUCUGUUGGCAAGUGAUGUAGUUGCAAAAAUACAUGGUCUUUCUUCGGACCUACACCUCUGGAAUGGAAUAAAUUUCAUGGAAAUCACAAGGAUAUAGUAGUUUCGUGCUAAUAGAAGGAGAUGAUCUUUAUGUGUUUAAUUUUGCGAGUUAGGUUCGUUUGGAUAAAUUAGGAGUAACUUUCAUAGGAUCGUUAUUAAAGUACAAAUGUGGAAAGUAUAAAUUGUAUAUAUUGAUAUAAGUUAUUUAUAUAUUUAUAUAAUAUUAUAUAACCUAUAUCAAAGAUAUAAUUAUACAAAUAAAUAAAAUAAAUAAAUAAAUAUAUGGAUAUAGACUUGUAAAUUAUGUAAAUUAUGUAUACAUAUGUUUCUUAAGGUAUUUAAAUAUAUGAAUAUCAUUGAAUUUCUUACAAAUCAUCUUACAUAAUAAAUAUAAGAAGUGUUACAAUUUCUUAUCGAGAAAACUUGAGGUUAUCUCAGAGAUUACAAGUUUAUUUCGGACUUAUGAUGUAAUAAAACUUUUCCAUCUUUUUCCAUCUAUGACUUGAAAAUUAUUUCAUGUGCUAAUAUAUCAAUAUUAUAUAAAUAGAUAAUUUAAUAUGUCUACAGUAGUAAGUCUUCUUUCUCGUUCAAUAGUUUUAUCAAAGGUCAAUAUAGAAAUCUCUUUUAAAUUCUGAUAAAUGAGAGAGAAGAUAUAAGAAAAUAGACAUAACGGGAUUGGAUAAAAACAAAUCUGUGUUCAUGAAGUAACGGCGCCGGAGAGCACCGAAGAGUAUGGUAUGUCUCGUUAUACAGUAGAACUCCAUUUAUCUUGACCAGCUCACCAAAAGUAUAUUUGUGAAGAACUAAGUUCAUUUUAAUAUUCCAAAAGUUAAAACCUAAGAUAUUAAGCGAUAAAAUCGGGGAUGUAUUUCACAUUUUAAUUGAAUUUGACAGUGCGUAUUUCUAUUAAAUGUAUCGUAAUUAUUGCAUAUUAAAUUAUUUUCUUUUAUUCGUACAGUCUUGAGACUUUCCACUUGUGGUAUGUAUUACUUUAAACAGUUAAACAUUUAAACAUAAAUGGGGUUCUCUGAUUUUCCCUACUACCAAUGAAUUCCAAGUAAUAGGAGUUCACGUCCAGAUAAAAGUUUAAUUUCUAAGUUUAAUUAUAAGUUAAUGUGUAAUAAGUAAAAUUCAAAUAAAUGAAGUUUUAUUGUC